UGAGGAAUAUUGGUCAAUGGGGGAAACCCUGAACCAGCGACGCCGCGUGUGGGACGAAGGAGCUUUGCUCUGUAAACCACUGUUGGAAGGGAAGAAAAGUAGCUUUAAGCUACCGGGACUGUACCUUCAAAGAAAGGAUCGGCUAACUACGUGCCAGCAGCCGCGGUAAUACGUAGGAUCCGAGCGUUGUCCGGAAUCACUGGGUGUAAAGGGUGCGCAGGCGGAUUUGAACGUCAGAGGUUAAAUGUCACCGCUUAACGGUGAACCUGCCUUUGAAACGGCAAGUCUUGAGUAUGAGAGAGGUAAGUAGAAUUCCUGGUGUAGCGGUGAAAUGCGUAGAUAUCAGGAGGAAUACCAGUGGCGAAGGCGGCUUACUGGCUCAUAACUGACGCUCAGGCACGAAAGCGCGGGGAGCAAACAGG
This 422-nucleotide ribosomal RNA is filed under the name uncultured Chlorobiota bacterium. RNAcentral describes it as "bacterial SSU rRNA". It matches the Rfam family "Bacterial small subunit ribosomal RNA", at positions 355 to 776 of the family's 1533-position model. The record is from RNAcentral. Lineage: Bacteria; Pseudomonadati; Chlorobiota.